AACGAACGCUGGCGGCAGGCUUAACACAUGCAAGUCGAACGCCCCGCAAGGGGAGUGGCAGACGGGUGAGUAACGCGUGGGAACGUGCCCAAAGGUACGGAACAACUCCGGGAAACUGGAGCUAAUACCGUAUGUGCCCGAAAGGGGAAAGAUUUAUCGCCUUUGGAUCGGCCCGCGUCUGAUUAGCUAGUUGGUAGGGUAAUGGCCUACCAAGGCGACGAUCAGUAGCUGGUCUGAGAGGAUGAUCAGCCACACUGGGACUCGAGACACGGCCCAGACUCCUACGGGAGGCAGCACGUGGGGAAUAUUGGACAAUGGGCGCAAGCCUGAUCCAGCCAUGCCGCGUGAGUGAUGAAGGCCUUAGGGUUGUAAAGCUCUUUUGUCCGGGAGGACUAAUGACCGUACCGGAAGAAUAAGCUCCGGCUAACUUCGUAGCCAGUCAGCCGCGGUAAACUAGUCUACG
RNAcentral lists this ribosomal RNA (463 nucleotides) under uncultured bacterium. Its description in RNAcentral is "bacterial SSU rRNA". It matches the Rfam family "Bacterial small subunit ribosomal RNA", at positions 29 to 531 of the family's 1533-position model. The record is from RNAcentral.